CUUAACCCACUGACCAAGGCCAGGGAUUGAACCUGCAACCUCAUGGUUCCUAGUUGGAUUCGUUUCUGCUGUGCCAGAAUGGGAACUCUCAGAUUACAACUUUUUAUCGGACAGACUUAUCUACAUGGCAGAACAAACAUUUAAUAACCAAACUUCUCCUCUUCUGGUCCUAUGAAUUGCCAUUCUCCCAUUUGAAGCUCCAGGCCCCACUCCUUAGUCAGGGUGACUUAUAAGCCUCAAUUGCCUGACUAUCUUUGAGGUCACAUAUUUUUAUGGAGCUCCCAUGUGUACAAAAUUCAAUAUUUUUUCUCCUGUUAAUCUGUCCCAUGUCAAUUUAGUUAUUAGGCAAGCCAAAGAAGGGUAGAAGCAAAAAAUUUCCACCCAGCAAUUGUGAAUCUUACUUCUUAUUGGUCAUUACUCUAUAUGAAUCGUUCUCAACCAUCUGGCAUUUUUCUUUCUUUCUUUUUUGAAGAGCUAAUUGGCUUUAUUAAUUGAUUCAUGACUUGGGCAGCAUCUAGCAAGCAGAAGGGCAUUUAGAGGAGUUGUACAAAAUGGUAGGAAUUUAUAGGCAGAGGCUAUAAACAAACAAAAACGAUUGUUUCAAGCCAGCUCAUCUUCUUUUGUGGGGAAGGGAAUGGCAGGGGUUUUAUUGUGCUGGAAUCAGGAAAUUCCAGACAUUGGUUUAAAAUUCCACUCCUGGGAGAGCCUGAAACUGCAGUUGGGUUGGGUGUGACGUCUAGGUGGGCUUACCACAAGUGACUCCAUUUUGUGUCUGUUUGUUUCUUUUUAAUAACUCUCCCCUUUUGGUCAAACUCUCAGUCUGAGAGAGCUGAUAAAAAGUUAAGGCAUCAGCGUCACCCUCAGCUAGGGCUCUGAAGUCCUCGAAACUUUGCUGGUCUUUGGUGUGGUGUCCAUUGGUCAUGGCAUUUUUGCUUAAUCCUUGUGACAGUCACUGGUUGUGAUUCCAGGUUCACAGUCUUUAAGUCAGUCAUUCUCUUUGUUCUUUUUGACAUUCCCAUUCUCAGGGUGAUCAUUUGCCUGAUGGUCGGCGUCUUUGAAGAAGCAUUUUAAGCUUUUGAGAGACUACAACACACCAGGGAGAUUAUUAUCAUAACGAUAAGCAGGAUAAUUCCCAACAUUUGAAGUACACUUCAGAGCCGCAGUGCUCAAGACCCAAACCAAUCAAAGGUAAAAUAAAUCAAAGUCCUUGUUGAGGGAGCCACCCUUUUAAGCCAAGUGGUUUGCUCAGUGAUCUUAUGUAUCCGAGUUUCAACUUCCCCAGAAGUGUCAGUCGGGUACAGCAGGUGGUGUGGCAACAGCAGAUAUCUCCUUGUUCAGCUACAAGGUAAUUGAGGACUAUUCUAUUAUUAAGAAAAACUUUGGGAGUUCCUGUCAUGCUCAGAGGUAACGAACCCAACUAGAAUCCAUGAGGGCAAGGGUUUGAUCCCUGGCCUUGCUCAGUGGGUUAAGUAUCUGCGUUGCUGUGAGCUAUGGUAUAGGUCAAAGACACAGUUCAAAUAUCGAAUUAUUGUGGCUGUGGCAUAGGCCAGCAGCUACAGCUCCAACUCAACUCCUAACUUGGGAACUUCCAUAUGCCAUGAGUACAGCCCUAAAAAGACAAAAUAAAAAAAAUAAAUAAAUAAAAAAUAACAACUUUGGGAGAGUUCCCACUGUGGCAUAAGGGCAUGGGUGGUGUCUCUGUAGCACUGGGUCACAGGUAAGGAUCCGGUGUUGCCACAGCUAUGGUGUAGCUCAGAUCUGAUCCCUGGCCUGGGAACUCCAUAUGCCACAGAGCAGAAAAAAAAAAACAAAAACAAAGGAACCACUUUGGGGAGUUCCCUGGUGGCCUAACAAUGAAAGGAUCCAGCACUGUCAUUGCUGUGGCGAGGGUUCAUUCCCUGGUCUGAGAAGUCUUAUAUGCCAUGGAGGCAGCCGAAAACAAAAGUGAAAAGAAAAAAAACCAACCAUCGCCAGAGAGGUUAAAAAUCUUUGCUGAGCAGAUAAUGCAACACAAUCUAUAAUGUCUCCAAGAGUUAAGGAGAGGCUUCUGACUAUAUUCUCAUUUGUAAUUACUCCUAACCAGGGAAAAGCCCUGACAAAGGAAAUGAUGCCUAGAUCAUGAAUGUCUCCUCAUGGGUCCUUCCUAGAAAGGUUAGAGGCCGACUCCAGUAACCUAAGAGGUGUGGCUCAGAUGUGCCAUCUGGCAACAUUUUUGAUUGUUACCACUGAGGGGGUGCUAUUGGCAUCCAGUGGGUGAGGCUGGGGAUGGUAUUAAGCAUUCUGUAAUCACAGGACACUCCAUCAUAACAAAGAAUAACUCCCCUAAGAUGCCAAUGGUUGAGAAUGUAAACAGGCUGAGAAACCUGUGUUCAGGUAGAGAAAAAUAGGGCUAAAUGGCCCCCAAACCUAGGGCUGCAGCCACGGCAUAUGGAACUUCCUAGGCUAGGGGUCGAAUCAGAGCCACAUGUCGCCUAACACCACAGCCACAGCAACAUCAGAUCCAAGUUGCGUCUGCGACAUGGCAACACCAGCUCAUGGCAACACCAGAUCCUUAACCCAGCGAGUGAGGCCAGGGAUCGAACCCGAAACCUCAUGGUUCAUAGUUGGAUCCACUGCGCCACGACGGGAACUCCAUGAAAUGCAGUUCUAUAAAGUUACUGUUUUCAUUGCUUUGGAGUUUUGAGUCCUAGUUCAGAUCCUCAUUUCUUCUUCUUCUCCGUCUCCUCCCCCCUGCCCCUUCUUCUUCUCCUUUUUUCUUUUUGACCCCCUGAGGCAUACGGAGUUCUCAGGCCCAGUGAUCAGAUCCAAGCCUCAGUUGCAGUCUACACUGCAGCUGUGGCAACAAUGAAUCCUUAAACCCACUGUGCUGGGCCAGGCAUCCAACCUGUGUCACGGAGCUGCAGAGACACUGCCAAUCCCAUUGUGCCACAGCAGGA
This 2936-nucleotide long non-coding RNA is filed under the name Sus scrofa (pig). RNAcentral describes it as "lncRNA (ENSSSCG00015001058.1)". Lineage: Eukaryota; Metazoa; Chordata; Mammalia; Artiodactyla; Suidae. The record is from RNAcentral.